AACGAACGCUGGCGGCAUGCCUAACACAUGCAAGUCGAACGGGAUCCUGGUUUCGGCCAGGUGAGAGUGGCGGACGGGUGAGUAACGCGUGGGAACCUGCCCAGUGGUGGGGGAUAACUGCGGGAAACUGCAGCUAAUACCGCAUGAGCCCGCAAGGGGAAAGAUUGAUCGCCAUUGGAGGGGCCCGCGUUCGAUUAGGUAGUUGGUGAGGUAACGGCUCACCAAGCCUUCGAUCGAUAGCUGGUCUGAGAGGAUGAUCAGCCACACUGGGACUGAGAUACGGCCCAGACUCCUACGGGAGGCAGCAGUGGGGAAUAUUGGACAAUGGGGGCAACCCUGAUCCAGCAAUGCCGCGUGAGUGAUGAAGGCCUUCGGUUGUAAG
Molecule: ribosomal RNA, 382 nt
Filed under: uncultured bacterium
Lineage: Bacteria
Description: bacterial SSU rRNA
Rfam family: Bacterial small subunit ribosomal RNA
Source: RNAcentral